AUUGAACGCUGGCGGCAGGCCUAACACAUGCAAGUCGAGCGGAUGAAGGGAGCUUGCUCCUGGAUUCAGCGGCGGACGGGUGAGUAAUGCCUAGGAAUCUGCCUGGUAGUGGGGGAUAACGUCCGGAAACGGGCGCUAAUACCGCAUACGUCCUGAGGGAGAAAGUGGGGGAUCUUCGGACCUCACGCUAUCAGAUGAGCCUAGAUCGGAUUAGCUAGUUGGUGGGGCAAAGGCCUACCAAGGCGACGAUCCGUAACUGGUCUGAGGAUGAUCAGUCACACUGGAACUGAGACACGGUCCAGACUCCUACGGGAGGCAGCAGUGGGGAAUAUUGGACAAUGGGCGAAAGCCUGAUCCUGCCAUGCCGCGUGUGUGAAGAAGGUCUUCGGAUUGUAAAGCACUUUAAGUUGGGAGGAAGGGCAGUAAGUUAAUACCUUGCUGUUUUGACGUCACCAACAGAAUAAGCACCGGCUAACUUCGUG
This 482-nucleotide ribosomal RNA is filed under the name uncultured bacterium. Its description in RNAcentral is "partial 16S ribosomal RNA". It matches the Rfam family "Bacterial small subunit ribosomal RNA", at positions 30 to 507 of the family's 1533-position model. The record is from RNAcentral.